CUGUUGACCAGACUAACGAAAACCAGGACCUAGUCAAUCCGCCUUUGUUUUGUAUUUCACCCAGUUCUCUGGGGCAGCCAGGCCAGGCCACCCACUGUGCUGGCCAACAGGCCACCAGACCCCGAGGUCUACAACCAGCUGCAAGCUUUCCAAUCUGUUCUUGGAGCUCAGAGGGCUGGGCAGCCAGGGGGCCCAGUCCGGAACAUUCCGCCCUCAGGUACUGGAGCGGAGUCCAGGCUGCAGGGCUCGGGAAAGCACCCUCCGGGGCUCUCAACAGAUGGACGACAGCCCGACUCGUGCGCAUCCUACUGGACUCACAGGCCAAGGAAGAGCUGCUAUGCUAAAGACCACAUGCGACAGGUCAUCCCAAUUCCGGAAACCCUGUUCCAUCCUUUGUCCCCAUCCUAGGGAAACCAAGGCGUCCCCUUGGAGAACUGUCUUCCAAAUACAUGCGUGUCCAGAACCUGAGGCCUCCACUUAGGAGAGAUACCAAUGGGUGGGUGACAAUUACCUACCCACUCAUGGUUAAGUCAACCAAGUCCCUUGAAUUUCCUUAAGACCAGGGCUCUGUCCUUCAGACUCCGAGGAGGACUGGGGGUGGGGGUGGGGAGUCACGACUCAAGCCUUCACUUCCUCAUCCAUGAAGUCACAAGGCAGGAGAGCACACUAAACACUCCUAACCUCACUUCGGGGUCCAGAGAUCUGGAAACGUCUCUUCUGAUGCACUGCCUGCAGGAAAGGACUGACUCCCAUGUGCCCAGCCGCAGUGUCCAGCCCGCCCGGCAGGUGAAUGCACAGAUGUCCCCUGACAGGUCCCUUCCAGCCUCAGCGUGAGCCCUUUCCCUCAGCCCCACCCUCCAUGGCGAUGGCGCCCAAGCGCUUCGGGAACAAAUCUUGGCUCCCCCCUCCACUGAAGAUCGGGGCUUGGAGAAGGGGAUGGCGCUCAGUCCGGCUCCGGCAAUGGGAUCUAAAUCGUACAAUCCCGGCACGGACACGUUUUUUGGCUAUGAUGGUUCUCCUGAUGGAAGGUUCCUCAAAGGUAACAGCUGCCCGGAAGUGGAGCUUGGAUUUUGUCACAAAGCCUGUCGCCGUCACUACACUUCCCUGCAGGACUGAGGUUCACCAAUGCUCCGGCUGCUUCGGCUGAGCUGCCCUUUGCAGCUCCGUCCUCACUGGUCCACCAGAGAUGGCGGGGUCGAGUUGCGCCCCACUCCCUCCAGAACUCUGCUGCGGGUCUGCAGUGUCGUUUACGCGCACGCUGCCGGGCCGCGAGCACAGCGGCGGGCGCUUCGUCUCCUGGCCGUCCUGGGCUCCCCGACCCCGAGCCAGCCAGGGGGCCCCGCCGUCCACGGACCAAGCCCCGGGGACCCCCCCGCAGGAAGGGGAUGGCUGGCCGGGAAACACUGCUGCUCUGGGAGGCCGGCGGGAAGCCGCAGGAGCUGAGAUGUUCCAGGAGGAGAGAUCUUCACUUGAUUGGAAAAUAAACACCAUAGCUGAAGGCUCUGUUGCUACGUAAAAAAUCUGAUGAGAUUCAUCCCUGUCAUUUUCCCUGUCGUUUUCCCAGCAUUGCUGUAAAAUCCUUAUAAUACAUUCCAAAGUAAACCAGCCAUUCCAAAUCUA
This is a long non-coding RNA of Suricata suricatta (meerkat), 1620 nucleotides long. RefSeq lists it as uncharacterized. The record is from RefSeq and is a predicted model, not a curated record. The transcript is spliced from 2 exons. Lineage: Eukaryota; Metazoa; Chordata; Mammalia; Carnivora; Herpestidae.